GUGGGGAAUCUUGCGCAAUGGGCGGAAGCCUGACGCAGCAACGCCGCGUGAGGGAAGACGGCCUUCGGGUUGUAAACCUCUUUCAGGGGGGACGAAGCCUCCGGGGUGAAUAGCCCACGGGGUGACGGUACCCCCAGAAGAAGCCCCGGCUAACUACGUGCCAGCAGCCGCGGUAAUACGUAGGGGGCAAGCGUUGUCCGGAAUCAUUGGGCGUAAAGCGCGUGUAGGCGGCUUGGUAAGUCUGGUGUGAAACCUUGGGGCUCAACCCCAAGCCUGCACUGGAUACUGCCUCGCUUGAGUCCGGGAGGGGAGAGCGGAAUUCCUAGUGUAGCGGUGAAAUGCGCAGAUAUUAGGAAGAACACCGGUGGCGAAGGCGGCUCUCUGGAACGGUACUGACGCUGAGACGCGAAAGCGUGGGGAGCGAACAGGAUUAGAUACCCCUGUAGUCC
This 449-nucleotide ribosomal RNA is filed under the name uncultured bacterium. RNAcentral's name for it is "bacterial SSU rRNA". It matches the Rfam family "Bacterial small subunit ribosomal RNA", at positions 354 to 796 of the family's 1533-position model. The record is from RNAcentral.